GACGAACGCUGGCGGCACGCUUAACACAUGCAAGUCGAACGAGAGAAGAGAAGCUUGCUUUUCUGCUCUAGUGGCGGACGGGUGAGUAACACGUGAGCAAUCUGCCUUUCAGAGGGGGAUACCGAUUGGAAACGAUCGUUAAUACCGGAUAACAUAAUUGGACCCCCUGAUUUGGUUAUCAAAGUUUGCUCGCUGGAGGAUGAGCUCCCGGCUGAUUAGCUAGUUGGGAAGGUGUCGACUUACCAAGGCGACGCUCAGUAGCCGGACUGGGUGGUUGAUCGGCCACAUUGGGACUUAGACACGGCCCAGACUCCUACGGGAGGAAGCAGGGGGGUAUAUUGCACAACGGAGGAAACGCGGAUGCAGCGAGGCCGCGUGAGGAAAGAAGGUUGGUGGAUUGUAAACCUCUGUCUUCAGGGACGAAAAAAGACGGUACCGGAGGAGGAAGCUCCGGCUAACUACGUG
Molecule: ribosomal RNA, 465 nt
Filed under: uncultured bacterium
Lineage: Bacteria
Description: partial 16S ribosomal RNA
Rfam family: Bacterial small subunit ribosomal RNA
Source: RNAcentral